UACGGAGGAUGCGAGCGUUAUCCGGAUUUAUUGGGUUUAAAGGGUGCGUAGGCGGUUUGAUAAGUUAGAGGUGAAAUGUCGGGGCUCAACCCCGAAACUGCCUCUAAUACUGUUGGACUAGAGAAUAGUUGCGGUAGGCGGAAUGCGUGGUGUAGCGGUGAAAUGCAUAGAUAUCACGCAGAACUCCGAUUGCGAAGGCAGCGUACCGGCAUCCAACUGACGCUGAGGCACGAAAGCGUGGGGAUCAAACAGG
Molecule: ribosomal RNA, 253 nt
Filed under: uncultured bacterium
Lineage: Bacteria
Description: partial 16S ribosomal RNA
Rfam family: Bacterial small subunit ribosomal RNA
Source: RNAcentral